GUUGCUCUGCAUCCGUUGUCACAAUUUUUGGAUUCCUAGUCCCAUCAUAUAAAUUUUUCCCUGCCUCCCAGUCUAGGCUUCAUUUUUUAAACAGAAACAGAACCUGAGUAAAUGGACCUCUCACCUCAGAAUAUUUUACAUCUUGUCAUGACACCACAGACCUGCAGGAAUCUCAGUGGAGGGAAGUUUCUGUCCAGAAUUUAAAAGUGUUUACUUUGCUCCUGCUGCUUUUCAUCCCUUUUCUCUCCUCCUGGUGUGUAUUUUCCUGCCCUGCUGACUGUGGUGUUGCAUACUAAUGGAGUAAUACUUGGCCCAUCCCCAGAGGAAGUUGUGUGCAGGUUUAUUGAGGAACAGAGGGGUCAGGAGGAAUUUCAGCGCAUCCAAUAACUCUCCUACUGGUGAGAUGCCUUCAGAUCCCAGGAACUUUGCCAGCUGUUCUCAGCUGUGGUGUGACUUCCCCUGUCAACAUUCUCCCUGCAGGAUAUCCCAUGGUCUGAGGCAAGGAGCCCUUCCUUGGGAAGGGAACUUGAACCCAUCCAGAGCAGGAGCUGAAGGGAGCCCAACAUCUCUCACUUUCCUGGACUUAAGUGCUGAGCCCAUGUGAGCUGUGCCUGCACUAACAGAACUGCAAGACUCAGUGCAGGAGAAGCAAUCAAGGAUGGAGUGACAACAAAAGCACCAGAUGCCACUGAUGCCUCUUCCACACUUCAGUCCCCAGGCAUCACAGCAGAACAAGGAACCCUCCUGACUCCAGGGUUUCCUAGUAAAGACAGAUUUGAAGAGGCACAGCCACUCUCCUAAGAGAUUAAAAAUAAAGUGCUGACAAAUUCUAUUGUCA
Molecule: long non-coding RNA, 838 nt
Filed under: Zonotrichia albicollis (white-throated sparrow)
Lineage: Eukaryota; Metazoa; Chordata; Aves; Passeriformes; Passerellidae
Description: lncRNA (ENSZALG00000001273.1)
Source: RNAcentral